Small nuclear RNA from Chlorocebus sabaeus (green monkey), 113 nucleotides. The record is from Ensembl. NCBI's taxonomy places the organism in Eukaryota, Metazoa, Chordata, Mammalia, Primates, Cercopithecidae.
GUGCUCACUUUGGCAGCACAUAUACUAAAAUAAAAAUGGAAUGAUACAGAGAACAUUAGCGUGGCCUCUGCACAAGGAUGUGAUAUGGUUUGGCUGUGUCCCCAAUCAAAUCU